Long non-coding RNA from Ornithodoros turicata, 784 nucleotides. RefSeq lists it as uncharacterized. Lineage: Eukaryota; Metazoa; Arthropoda; Arachnida; Ixodida; Argasidae. The record is from RefSeq and is a predicted model, not a curated record. The transcript has 3 exons.
AAGUUGAGCACCGAGCGCUCACGGCGUUAUCAACAGAAUGCGUUCGGUAUCGGGGCGUUCUUGAUGAACGAGCAAACGCCACGUGGCUGAGUAAUCUUGAGCAAGAGUGACGCGUUCUUCAAGUAGAUCAGCACGGCAUUUUCCGUGUGUUCAUACGAGCGACAUUCCCCGGAAUACUACAGCGUAAAAUGCGAGAAACGUUAUAGCUUUCUGCUGUGGCGUGUGCGCUCAACGUUGUGUCUUCAAGCACACUGCUACACAGCUACACGUUUUUCCGUAGCAGACGACAGGAAAGGACGCUGACGGUGUCGUCUGCUUAGUAACUUCGGCUGUGUGAGCAGUGUUUUAGCUUUUUCUUCCACUAGGAUCUUCUGCGAGGAUGUCGCUCGUGUGAAUGGUUUAUGCCAGUUUUCGCUAUUAUUCGCGUUGACAUUUAUAAACCGUGUGCAAGCCACUCUAAGAAGCGGACCACCAAAGCAGCGUCAUAAGGAAUGCCAGGUACCCGAACAAAUGUGUUACAUACAGCCGUGCAUACAGCGUACCAGCUGGAUGAGAGUGCUGCAAAUCAAGUUGCAUCGGGUUUUAUUGCGAGAGAUUACCAUUUACUGCGUGGAAGGAGACGACGAAGCAGCUCUUAUUGAGUUCCAAGAAAUCACCGUUGCCGUACAUCACGAUAGCAUAGGAAGAACAGAAGAAAGAAAAAAAAAGUGUCUGCUAAUUAACGCAGAAAGAGCUCGGGAGAACCAUUAAAAAUUGGAUCGAACAGAGAGAAAUUUAGGCGUUU